This 479-nucleotide ribosomal RNA is filed under the name uncultured bacterium. RNAcentral's name for it is "partial 16S ribosomal RNA". It matches the Rfam family "Bacterial small subunit ribosomal RNA", at positions 28 to 523 of the family's 1533-position model. The record is from RNAcentral.
GACGAACGCUGGCGGCGUGCUUAACACAUGCAAGUCGAACGGUAAGGCCCCUUCGGGGGUACACGAGUGGCGAACGGGUGAGUAACACGUGGGUAAUCUGCCCUGCACUUCGGGAUAAGCCUGGGAAACCGGGUCUAAUACCGGAUAUGAACUCCUGCCGCAUGGUGGGGGUUGGAAAGUUUUUCGGUGCAGGAUGAGCCCGCGGCCUAUCAGCUUGUUGGUGGGGUAAUGGCCUACCAAGGCGACGACGGGUAGCCGGCCUGAGAGGGUGACCGGCCACACUGGGACUGAGACACGGCCCAGACUCCUACGGGAGGCAGCAGUGGGGAAUAUUGCACAAUGGGCGAAAGCCUGAUGCAGCGACGCCGCGUGGGGGAUGACGGUCUCCGGAUUGUAAACCCCUUUCAGUGGGGACGAAGCGCAAGUGACGGUACCUGCAGAAGAAGCACCGGCUAACUACGUGCCAGCCGCCGCGGUAA